RNAcentral lists this ribosomal RNA (528 nucleotides) under Clavulina nigricans. RNAcentral describes it as "eukaryotic LSU rRNA". It matches the Rfam family "Eukaryotic large subunit ribosomal RNA", at positions 160 to 692 of the family's 3401-position model. The record is from RNAcentral. Lineage: Eukaryota; Fungi; Basidiomycota; Agaricomycetes; Cantharellales; Hydnaceae.
GUUUUCCGUGCUGGACUGUGUACAAGUUUCCUGGAUACGGAACAUCAUAGAGGGUGAGAAUCCCGUCCUUGACACAGAACUACCAGUGCCCUGUGAUGCGCUCUCGACGAGUCGAGUUGUUUGGGAUUGCAGCUCAAAAUGGGAGGUAAAUUCCUUCUAAAGCUAAAUAUUGGCGAGAGACCGAUAGCGAACAAGUACCGUGAGGGAAAGAUGAAAAGCACUUUGGAAAGAGAGUUAAACAGUACGUGAAAUUGUUAAAAGGGAAACGCUUGAAGUCAGUCAUGUCUGCUUGGACUCAACCUUACCUUUGGUUUGGUGUAUUUCCUUGCGGACGGGCCAGCGUCCAUGUGGUUUAUCGGAAAAGGGGUGAGAGAAUGUGGCUCCUUUGGGAGUGUUAUAGCUUUCACUCGUACGCGGGGAACGAUAUGGAGUGGUACAGCACGCUUCGGUGGUGUCUUGUGCUGGCAUAAUGGCUUUAAACGACCCGUCUUGAAACACGGACCAAGGAGUCUAACAUGUCUGCAAGUG